GGUGGCCCUGGCCACCGGUGUGACCUGCUGUCUCGGCGCGACAGCAGUGGUGGCAGCCAGGCAUGACGACGGGGGGUCGCCGCCCCCGGCGACCG
RNAcentral lists this transfer RNA (95 nucleotides) under Micromonospora andamanensis. Its description in RNAcentral is "tRNA-Ala". Lineage: Bacteria; Bacillati; Actinomycetota; Actinomycetes; Micromonosporales; Micromonosporaceae. The record is from RNAcentral.